Long non-coding RNA from Helianthus annuus (common sunflower), 3712 nucleotides. RefSeq lists it as uncharacterized. The transcript has 13 exons. The record is from RefSeq and is a predicted model, not a curated record. Lineage: Eukaryota; Viridiplantae; Streptophyta; Magnoliopsida; Asterales; Asteraceae.
GGCUUCCAGGAUACGUUUCUUUUACAAAACCCUAGCAUCGGCAAUUAUUUAUCUCCUUCUUCAUAUGGUUGUAAAUGGUUUGUUCUUCAUCUUCAUCUUCUUCAUAUCAUGAUUUCUUUUUCUUCAUAACAUGUUCGAUAUUAUCAGGGUUUACAAUUCAACCGUUCACACCAUCUACAAAUCCUUUCGGUACACUCUCAUCACAUCUGUUUCCAAUUUGGGGUUUCAACUUUCAAGCAAUCGGAACUUCUGUUUAGUUACGGUGAUUAUUCAGUGCUACAUUUGAUUAUUCUGUUUUGGUACUUAAUUGGAUUAAGUAGUUUUGGAAUUGAAGAUGAACUGUGCAUAUGGUUGAUUGGUUUUGAAGAUGCUUAAAGUGUUUUAAGAUAAGGGAUUCAGUGUGAUGCUGUGAUCGUUUCAUGAUAUUGGUGAUGUUGAGUUUCAGGAUAACUAGGGACGGGUUUGGGUAGACAAUGGUACUUCUGAUUGCUUUGCUCUUGAUGUGCUGCUUAAUCGCCUCACUGUACUAAGUUCCGAGUAUUUGGGUAUACAACAGGUGGUCUUUGGAGGUCGGUCAAUCUGCGAUUGGGAAGAGGGAAUGAAAAACCCUGAAGAUGGAUACAAGUACUUUAAGAUUGUUGCGCUCACAACGUUCGUUUAUGGAAAAUUGGAGAGCGAGUCAGAAGUAAGAUCUGAUCAAGGGAAGAUAGUGGACUUGUGAAUCCCACAAAGGAGAUCUCUAAAGCAACGGUGUGGUAACUCAAGUGGCGGCGGUGGUGGUGCUGCAAUCAUUUCGAUUCAACAAACCAUCUGGUCGUGGAAGGAGUGAUGGAUUGUAAGGAUAUGUACCUUCUGGAUCAUGUUGUGGCCGAUUCCAUGAGUUAAUUUCUGCACUCAUACUUUUUUUGUUGUAUCUUUUGUAUAAGUUAUUAUAUGUAUGGCUACAUAUAUGUAUGCGUAUUGCAACCUGAUGGGUGGCUAUGGUAUGGGAAUGAGUGGGCCCAGUGGCCCGUUUGGUGCUCCUUCAUUGUCUCCUUGAUUCUGGAUUUUCUUGAUGUGUGUGGUAAGCCAACAAACCUAUCUAUUAAGUCUAGAGGUGGCGAAACGGCAGGGGUUGGCAAAGGAUCAUAUGGGCGAAUUUUCAAAGGAUCGGAUCGGGUUGGGCCAGCCUAGAAGCACUUUAUUGGUCUUAUAUUGAAAACCCCUGUUUUUUUAUGUUUUAGAUGCGAUUUCUUUAUAUCAUGUGUGAUUACAAUACUUAAUUGGGCGUAUCUUUGAAAACCCCUAUUUUUGAUGUUUUCUAUAGAAAUUAUAAAACCUAAUUGUUGUUUCACAUAAUUAGGUCUCGCUUAAAAGGUAACCUUAUUUUUUGUAUGAUCAAAGGGGUUUCGACUAUAUUGGCACCCUUCCUUUGUUCGUGAUGUUUAUGGAUCCGUUAGUGGUUAGUUUUUAUUGUGCUUCUUAUCGUCGCAACAAUUUUCAUCUGCAACCGAACCAUUUGUGAUUAUGUAUAUGUAUGUGUGCGUCAUAACAAAGUAGAGGAUUGGUCCAAGUUUAAUGAAACUGGGUCUUCAUAAUUUUUUUACGUUUAUUUGAAACUUGCAUUGUAUUUGGGUUUUAACCUCAAUCUGUGAUAUGUACGGUAUAUUUACAGUUGUAAUUAUAAGAUUUUUUAGGUUUGUAUUUGCAUAUACGACACAAUCAACUACUGCUAAGAAAAGUUGCAAGAAUGAAUAAAGAUUCUAGAAAAUAGUCACUCUGGUCUCUAAAGUUAAUAAUGUAGAUGCCAAGAGUGGCAGAUGGUCCAAUUUAGGGAAACAAAUUUGCAGAUUGCAACUCUCUUAGAAAGGAAGCAAAUGAUGUGUAUAGUACACCAGACGAUAUUGGUCAGGUUGAAUUGACCCACAUGCUUUGUUUAUUGUUAAAAGUACAUUUUAACUGCUAUAUGAGAACUUUUGGUAUUGGUGCUUCAUGUGUGUAUUGUUUUCCUUUAUACCUUUUAUUCAAUAUGCUAAUUUUUUAUAGAUAUUCAGUUUGUUUUCAUUUAGGUUGUCUAAGGAUUUCUUUUUUCAUUUGCUUUUCUUAGGAUUUCAAACAAUGACAUGAAUAUAUAAUCAAAUAAUUUACAUAAUGAAAUAUGAACAAUGAAUACUUUUUGUGUCACAGGAGCUUUUUAAGGUAAAUUCAGGACGUAGCUUAUUUGGGAUUGUUAACGGACGGUGUGUUGAGGACCCGAAAUCAAUGGCGUCUGACUUAACCUGCAAUUCACUUCCGGGUCUUGACAUUGCUACAAACCGGGACAUAAUAGGGAUAUAUCUUGCUAAUUUGAUUCGGCUUCAUUGGAAACGCACAUCAAGAAUUAACCAUGGAUUGAUGUUGACUUCUCCUCUCAGACGAGUGCAUGAUGAUAACGGGAAAUGGAGUUAAAGUUUAUCUAUUUAGUUUACUCGAGAGGGAGGGAGAGUUAAUACAAGAAAAAGGCUUCCGGUUAAAAAAAACUUUGCAAUUUUAUUUUUCUGCAGCAGGUUUGUGGAGUUAGGUAUUGGAGCUCAAUGAUGGCAAUAGAGAGACAAAUGCUUCUAACUUGCUUUACACGGAGUAUUAAUCCUUUAAGCCUAACACGUCCAACUGAAACAAAAGCCUUCCUCAAGUUAGUUUUUUUUUUUUACCUAUUAUUCCUCAUAUUGUUGUAGAUUUAGGGAUAGAUGGAUGUUUGAUUUGAAGUUGUAACUUUAAUCCAGUUAGUCUCUUUGUAUCUUCUAUUGAGAUUCAUGAGAACAUUUUUGUUCCAUAAAAUCCAUCUGCUCAUCUCAAUGUGUCAAUUUUUUAUAGUACACAUUAUCUUCUCUAUUCAUAACAAAACAUUAGUGAGGGGUUGGGAGGGAAAGUGGGGAAUGUGACGUGGAGGAGAAGGGUGAGAAUAAGAAGGUUGAAGAGAUCGGUCAAGAAGAGGCGUGGUUUAAGCGGAGUGAAAAGGGCAAGGUCGAGGAAUAAUGAUAGUUGCACCUGCUCGAUGUGCCGCCAUGUUGGAUGUAUAUCUCCCUUUGCCUAGAUGCUCAGGUUUCGUUUGUCAAGUGUUUUGCAAUGACCAUAGUGUGCUUAUUUUCGUACUACGUAUAUCUUGCUGGGGUAUGUGGUAUGAUUCUAUGAUAUUUACCUUAUAUUUUUAUUGUUAUACACUAUGAAGUUUGGUUUUUAAACAUAAGAUUUUGCAAUAUUGUGGUGGGGCAAUUCAGCCAAUGUUGCCAUGUAUGUUUGUAUCUAUAAGAAUAGACAUAGAAUAUUAACAAACAAUAAAGCAUUCUAAGCAGUUAUUGGUAUUCUAUUUUGUGGAUUUUGUGGUACGAGUAUAUGUUAGUGAGACCGAUAUGGUGAUGGCGAUUCUGACAGCGAUUUUCCAGUCAUGUUUAGACUGUUUAAAUUCUAGAAACUUUAAUCGUUUGUAUGUGUGGUGGUGGCCAAAAUAGGGCUUGGUCGACGGUUGAAGGAGCAUACAGGAUGAUUUCUGAGUUCUAAGGUUUGGUCAACAGUUUCAAGACGAAGCUUCUGGGCCAGAUGCUCUAUUAUAUUUCAGGGGCAUGACAACACACAUUGGGAGAAGAAUAUUGUUAUAUCACAAGUGUCAAGAAUUUAUAUUCUAUUUUGUAGAUACUCAUAAAUUAUUUAAUAUCACACCUUUUCAUUUGUCAAUCGAAACUGAAAUUUUGAGUUA